CUCUUCCCAUCCCGAACAGAGAAGUUAAGCCCGUUAGCGCCGAUGGUACUGCCGACAGGUGGGAGAGUAGGUCGAUGCUGAAU
RNAcentral lists this ribosomal RNA (83 nucleotides) under Odoribacter sp. AM16-33. The record is from RNAcentral. Lineage: Bacteria; Pseudomonadati; Bacteroidota; Bacteroidia; Bacteroidales; Odoribacteraceae.